CGCUACUACCGAUUGAAUGGCUCAGUGAGGCCUCCGGACUGGCUCGAAGAGGUUGGCAACGACCACUUCGAGCCGGAAAGCUGGUCAAACUCGGUCAUUUAGAGGAAGUAAAAGUCGUAACAAGGUUUCCGUAGGUGAACCUGCGGAAGGAUCAUUACCUA
RNAcentral lists this ribosomal RNA (161 nucleotides) under Epicoccum sorghinum. RNAcentral describes it as "partial 18S ribosomal RNA". It matches the Rfam family "Eukaryotic small subunit ribosomal RNA", at positions 1677 to 1831 of the family's 1831-position model. Lineage: Eukaryota; Fungi; Ascomycota; Dothideomycetes; Pleosporales; Didymellaceae. The record is from RNAcentral.